This 492-nucleotide ribosomal RNA is filed under the name uncultured bacterium. RNAcentral describes it as "partial 16S ribosomal RNA". It matches the Rfam family "Bacterial small subunit ribosomal RNA", at positions 29 to 507 of the family's 1533-position model. The record is from RNAcentral.
AUUGAACGCUGGCGGCAGGCCUAACACAUGCAAGUCGAGCGGCAGCAGAGUGCGUGCUCGCUGUUUCAGGGGCGGAGGGGCGAGCGAGGCCGGGGAACAUCCGAAGCUGCGGGUGAUAACGUCCGGAAACGGGCACUAUUACGCCAAUCGCCCAGAGGGCGAACGGGGGGAAGCAUCGGAUCUUCCGACCUUGCGUGAGCGUAUGUGCGGAUGUCGGGUUAGCUAGUUGGCGGGGUAAAGGCCCACCAAGGCGACGAUCCGUAGCUGGUCUGAGAGGAUGAUCAGCCACACUGGAACUGAGACACGGUCCAGACUCCUACGGGAGGCAGCAGUGGGGAAUAUUGGACAAUGGGCGAAAGCCUGAUCCAGCCAUGCCGCGUGUGUGAAGAAGGUCUUCGGAUUGUAAAGCCCUUUUGGUUGGGAGGAAGGGCAGUAAGUUAAUACCUCGCUGUUUUGACGGUACCAACAGAAUAAGCACCGGCUAACUUCGUG